GAUGAACGCUGGCGGCGUGCCUAAUACAUGCAAGUCGAGCGAACAGACGAGGAGCUUGCUUCUCUGACGUUAGCGGCGGACGGGUGAGUAACACGUGGAUAACCUACCUAUAAGACUGGGAUAACUUCGGGAAACCGGAGCUAAUACCGGAUAAUAUAUUGAACCGCAUGGUUCAAUAGUGAAAGACGGUCUUGCUGUCACUUAUAGAUGGAUCCGCGCUGCAUUAGCUAGUUGGUAAGGUAACGGCUUACCAAGGCAACGAUGCAUAGCCGACCUGAGAGGGUGAUCGGCCACACUGGAACUGAGACACGGUCCAGACUCCUACGGGAGGCAGCAGUAGGGAAUCUUCCGCAAUGGGCGAAAGCUUGACGGAGCAACGCCGCGUGAGUGAUGAAGGUCUUCGGAUCGUAAAACUCUGUUAUUAGGGAAGAACAAAUGUGUAAGUAACUGUGCACAUCUUGACGGUACCUAAUCAGAAAGCCACGGCUAACUACGUG
This 497-nucleotide ribosomal RNA is filed under the name uncultured bacterium. RNAcentral describes it as "partial 16S ribosomal RNA". It matches the Rfam family "Bacterial small subunit ribosomal RNA", at positions 28 to 507 of the family's 1533-position model. The record is from RNAcentral.